CAGCCCCGCGGUAAUACGUAGGGUGGCAAGCGUUGUCCGGAAUUAUUGGGCGUAAAGGGCUCGCAGGCGGUUUCUUAAGUCUGAUGUGAAAGCCCCCGGCUCAACCGGGGAGGGUCAUUGGAAACUGGGAAACUUGAGAGCAGAAGAGGAGAGUGGAAUUCCACGUGUAGCGGUGAAAUGCGUAGAGAUGUGGAGGAACACCAGUGGCGAAGGCGACUCUCUGGUCUGUAACUGACGCUGAGGAGCGAAAGCGUGGGGAGCGAACAGGAUUAGAUACCCCCGUAGUCCCUGUCUCUUAUAC
RNAcentral lists this ribosomal RNA (301 nucleotides) under uncultured bacterium. RNAcentral's name for it is "partial 16S ribosomal RNA". It matches the Rfam family "Bacterial small subunit ribosomal RNA", at positions 509 to 807 of the family's 1533-position model. The record is from RNAcentral.